RNAcentral lists this ribosomal RNA (274 nucleotides) under uncultured bacterium. RNAcentral describes it as "partial 16S ribosomal RNA". It matches the Rfam family "Bacterial small subunit ribosomal RNA", at positions 523 to 796 of the family's 1533-position model. The record is from RNAcentral.
AUACGGAGGGUGCAAGCGUUAUCCGGGAUCAUUGGGUUUAAAGGGUCCGUAGGCGGAUAAUUAAGUCAGGGGUGAAAUCCCACAGCUCAACUGUGGCACUGCCUUUGAUACUGGUUAUCUUGAGUUAUAGGGAAGUAGAUAGAAUAUGUAGUGUAGCGGUGAAAUGCAUAGAUAUUACAUAGAAUACCGAUUGCGAAGGCAGUCUACUAUCUGUAUACUGACGCUAAGGGACGAAAGCGUGGGGAGCGAACAGGAUUAGAAACCCUAGUAGUCC